GAUGAACGCUGGCGGCGGGCUUAACACAUGCAAGUCGAACGGAAGCACAGUAAGAGUUUGCUCUGACGGGUGGCGAGUGGCGGACGGGUGAGGAAUACAUCGGAAUCUAGUUUUUCGUGGGGGUUAACGAAGGGGAACUUACGAUAAUACCGCAUAUGAUCCACCAUUGAAAGCAGGGGACCUUUGGAGCUGGCGGGAAUGAACGAGCCGAUGUCGGAUUAGCUAGUUGGGGGGGUAAAGGCCCAGCAGGGAGGGGAUACGUAGCCGGUGUGAGAGGCUGGUCAGCCACACGGGAACUGAGGCAGGGUCCAGACUCCUGCGGUAGGCAGCAGUGGGGAAUAGUAGACAAUGGGGGCAAGCCUGAUCCAGCCAUACCGCGUGGGGGAAGAAGGCGUUCCGCUUGUAAAGCCCUUUUGUUGGUAGAGAAAAGCAGCAGGUUAAGACCCCGCGGUUCUGACGGUACCCGAAGAAUAAGCACCGGCUAACUUCGUG
Molecule: ribosomal RNA, 492 nt
Filed under: uncultured bacterium
Lineage: Bacteria
Description: partial 16S ribosomal RNA
Rfam family: Bacterial small subunit ribosomal RNA
Source: RNAcentral